RNAcentral lists this ribosomal RNA (484 nucleotides) under uncultured bacterium. Its description in RNAcentral is "partial 16S ribosomal RNA". It matches the Rfam family "Bacterial small subunit ribosomal RNA", at positions 28 to 523 of the family's 1533-position model. The record is from RNAcentral.
GACGAACGCUGGCGGCGUGCUUAACACAUGCAAGUCGAACGAUGAAGGCUGGAGCUUGCUCCGGCUGGAUUAGUGGCGAACGGGUGAGUAACACGUGAGCAAUCUGCCCUUGACUCUGGGAUAACUCCGAGAAAUCGGUGCUAAUACCGGAUAUGACCCUUGGCGGCAUCGCUGGGGGUGGAAAGUUUUUCGGUCAAGGAUGAGCUCGCGGCCUAUCAGCUUGUUGGUGAGGUAAUGGCUCACCAAGGCGACGACGGGUAGCCGGCCUGAGAGGGUGACCGGCCGCACUGGACUGGGACACGGCCCAGACUCCUACGGGAGGCAGCAGUGGGGAAUAUUGCACAAUGGGCGCAAGCCUGAUGCAGCAACGCCGCGUGGGGGAUGACGGCCUUCGGGUUGUAAACCUCUUUUAGCAGGGAAGAAGCGAAAGUGACGGUACCUGCAGAAAAAGCACCGGCUAACUACGUGCCAGCCGCCGCGGUAA